GGCGGCGUGCCUAAUACAUGCAAGUCGAGCGGAUCUUCAUUAGCUUGCUUUUGAAGAUCAGCGGCGGACGGGUGAGUAACACGUGGGCAACCUGCCUGUAAGACUGGGAUAACUUCGGGAAACCGGAGCUAAUACCGGAUAAUCCUUUCCCUCACAUGAGGGAAAGCUGAAAGACGGUUUCGGCUGUCACUUACAGAUGGGCCCGCGGCGCAUUAGCUAGUUGGUGAGGUAACGGCUCACCAAGGCAACGAUGCGUAGCCGACCUGAGAGGGUGAUCGGCCACACUGGGACUGAGACACGGCCCAGACUCCUACGGGAGGCAGCAGUAGGGAAUCUUCCGCAAUGGACGAAAGUCUGACGGAGCAACGCCGCGUGAACGAUGAAGGCUUUCGGGUCGUAAAGUUCUGUUGUUAGGGAAGAACAAGUACCGGAGUAACUGCCGGUACCUUGACGGUACCUAACCAGAAAGCCACGGCUAACUACGUGCCAGCAGCCGCGGUAAUACGUAGGUGGCAAGCGUUGUCCGGAAUUAUUGGGCGUAAAGCGCGCGCAGGCGGUUCCUUAAGUCUGAUGUGAAAGCCCCCGGCUCAACCGGGGAGGGUCAUUGGAAAACUGGGGAANCUUGAGUGCAGAAGAGAGAGCGAAUUCCCC
Molecule: ribosomal RNA, 651 nt
Filed under: Bacillus sp. KE1-02
Lineage: Bacteria; Bacillati; Bacillota; Bacilli; Caryophanales; Bacillaceae
Description: bacterial SSU rRNA
Rfam family: Bacterial small subunit ribosomal RNA
Source: RNAcentral